UCCCAUACCCUUGUCCCACUCUGCGUGCUGUCAGUCCCCAGUCCCCGCACAAACCCGGUCUCUUUCUCCCAAUCCCCGCCGAGCUUGUUCCUCCGGCCACCGCGCAAGGAGCCCCGUCGGUUAAGCCUGCAAUUAGCAUGGCACUCACGUGACCAUGGAUGGGCUAUGAAGGAGGAGGAGCCAUGAUAUGGAUCUGGCGGCCACUUGAAGCCUCCGCCUGCGGCGUCAUACCGUUGCCGGGGUGCCGCGCAAGAGGUCAGGGUCCGCCGCCACCGCGAACCAGGGGACGCCCAUUGGCAACCCUUCGUGCAGGAAGCCGAUGUGGAGCAUGGCGUCAACAAGUCGCCAGGAGGAGCCCCAUACGCCAGCCGAGCGAGCACCGGUUGCGAGGUCGGCCUCGCUGCUCCAUCCCAGCAGGCCGGCCGAGCUGCUCCCCUCCCCCCACACCGUCCUACCGGACCUCCCCUGCUCGUCCACCCCAGCGAGAAGACCCCACCUCCUCAACCGUUGGUCGUGGGUGGAGAAGAGGCUGUGGGGUGAGCAGCUCCUCGGCGUCGGACAGAGACGAUGGAGGUGAACAGCGGCGGCGGCUGACGAGAGAGGAUGGAGGAGAAGGGGAGGGGUGCUGCGUCGUGGAUCCAAGUACACUUUUUUAUCGGAGGGAGUAUAACAUAUUACCUUUGUGCUCUUCGAAUUUUAGUAUACACUUGCGAAACAAACAUGUCAUUAAUAUCAGUGCCUAAGAAUCAUUUGUUUUGGAUUCUAAUUUGUUCAGCAGAGGGCGAUCAAUAUAGAAGAGAUAUAUACACAAAUUUCCCUAGGUGCAGCAUCUUCUACUGUCCAAGCCUCCAAGGUAAUUCUCAAGAAUUUGUGUGCUUGCUUGUCCAAAAUGCAUAUGGUCCAACUUGGUUCGUUUUGAUGGGUUCUGAAUUUACUCCAAUUUGGUCACUUUUCAAAUUCAGUUAGAUAGCAUUGUCUUCUCCCUGAGCAGCAAAAUGAAGGUCACCAAUGCUGUGCGGUAGGCUAAAGGACGCCUGCCUCUGUGCCCCUCCCCAAACUACAUGGUCUGCUUCAGCUUGCAUGUUGCCACUUCCUCUAUUCUCAUUGCUUUUCUUUGAUUAGUGUAAUGAUCCACACUGAACGUGUAUGAAAAUGUUUUUGCUGGGGCAUUUUUGCACCAAGCCAAUUGGUCUGCUUUGUUGGAACAAUUGAUUGAUAGUAUCUUCAUUGGAAGUUAUGCCAGGAGCAUGCAUUGGGUGGUAUAUUUUCGCCAUUGUUCGCGCCGCCGAAGCUUGGCUGGGAAAGUUUAUGCCCUUUAUGUAUAUUAAUGUUUAGCUAAAGACAUGGAUCUCUUGAUUUUGUGGAGAUGCAAAGCAGCUCCGUAGGUAGAGGUAUGUAAUUAGUCAGUACAUUUUUAAACUAUUAGUUCAUCUUCUAAAAAAAUAUUAAUGUACAGGUAGUGUAUCUAAAGUUAGGAUCUUUCUACAUUGCACAACCAAGUUUCCAGCCUAAAAAUAUUUUAUCUAAAAUGUUAUUAGUUUCCAAUGUCCUGCUUGAUGUUACAUGGUGUUCAAGAAAGAAUUAUGGGCCAUUUUGUCAUGAAGCAUGAGAAUGAUAAUAUCAACUCAGUUGGGGAUAAGCAAAAAUUAAAUAAAUACUCCCUCCGUAAACUAAUAUAAGAGCGUUUAGAUUACUAAAGUAGUGAUCUAAAUGCUCUUAUAUUAAUUUACAGAGGGAGUACAUGAGAUGUGAUUAAUGAAAUAGGAAAAUGUCCUCUUCUCUCGAUUAUGCAUCUAUGGAAUAAAGAUUAGUGUAGAUUAGUGUAGAUGGUCAUUUAGAUUACUAAAGUAGUGAUCUAAAUGCUCUUAUAUUAAUUUACAGAGGGAGUACAUGAGAUGUGAUUAAUGAAAUAGGAAAAUGUCCUCUUCUCUCGAUUAUGCAUCUAUGAAAUAAAGAUUAGUGUAGAUGGUCAUUGUACAUCUGAAGGGAAACUUUACUGGUCAUGUUCUUCCCCCUUUUCAGUUCACAUGAUCAGUGCAUCCUCUUUAUACUAUGUAGUGCUAGGCUACAAAUUGGUUUUCUCUUUACUGCUCCAGCUGGAUUAUAUCUCAAACUUCCCUUGUUCCUAUGCUGAGAUUCUCCUAGCCAGUGGCAAAGGUACAUACUGCCUCUUCUUCUUUUUCCUUUGCAUUUUUCUUCGAUUGGAAGGAGUGGAUUACUGCCGCCAAUUUCUUGGAUGAAAUGAAGAGAUGCAAGAUAUGUAUGUUGUCAUGUCAGUUAUUUUGUUUUGCAACAAAAUGGAUAGUUCAUGUAUUCCCCACCGAGCAAGAUUUAUGUCUAAACUUAUGUCUGUGCUUCAGAGAUUUUCUUAUUAUGUUUCAAUUCAAGAGACUUGUGUCAUAGAGGCGAUGAACAGGUGGUGCUUAUUUUGCAUUUGUUGAUUAGGGAAUUUUGAUGAAGCAAUGUUUUUUUGGAAUAGCUGAUGAGUGCUCACUUCUACUGUUCCCCAAAAGACUAUUAAUGAUUUUUCCAGUGCUACACAUUGCAUGUUUGCCACAAGCUUAGAAAAUCUUCGUCUUAGUUUGCUAAAUGUUCUUUCUUACCAAACUAGCUUCAGGAUGAAUAGCAGGUUUAUUAACCAUUUGAUCUUGUUUGUGCAUAGCAGGUUUGCUGCUAAGUCUAUUUAAGUAUUUUUUUGCAUGAUUAUCCUAUGGAGCCAUGAUGCUGAACCAAUGAAUUUAGAGAAAAUUUAGUAUGUUUAUGGAUCACUACAUGUUCUGUUGGAACAAGGUGAGAUCCUUUUUCCAGUAACCAUUUGAACACGUGUCAUGCUUUUCGAACAUAACUGAACAUCUGGAGCAGCCAUGGUGUACUGGUGUUUAUAUUUUUGAAUUGCAAGUCAGCAUCUCUAUGUUUCAUUGGCUAUUAUAAUUAUGUACUCCCUUGUUAGAAAGUUAGAAGGAUUUCUUAUUGUGAGUGUAAUCCUUGGUAGCUAAAACCUUUUGUUGUUUGAUAAGAAUAUUUGUUUCUUAUAGUUGAUUGCAUAAUAGGUGCCUUGUCGCCACCUCCAGUCUUUUGAAUGUAAUUAUUUGAAAUGUUCUUUGUCAUAUUGCUUAUGAAUAGAUACAGGGCUAUAUUUUUUAUGUACUAUACUAUCAAGUGUGGAUAAAAACUACUUUGAUCCUCCCUUUGGUUUCUCCAUCAUGGAUGCAUAUAUGCAUUUAUUGUUCAUGUCGCAUAAUAAUGAUUGAAUUAGUUUUUACACCUUUUAACCUUAGUUCAAAAUUAUGGCUCUACAGGUGUACAUAACCAGUAAAUUGUGUUUUUUUGUAUGUGUGGAAACCUUGGUGUUGGACGAAUAUAAUCAGUGUUGUGGUGACACAUUCUGGUGCCGCCGAAAUUUGGCACUCUGACAGUUACCAUUUCUUUUGUCGUGUUCUAUCAGCUGCCAAAAUGUCCAAGAGACGCGAUGUGGGCACAGAAAUUGCAGCUGCUCUCAAAGCACAUGCAAGAUGUUACAAUAUUAUUCCCUAUCUUGAUUUGUAUAUGGCACCCAUGAAAUUUGAGAUCUUUUCUAAUGUUUGACCAAUAGAUAAUCAAACAAUAUAAAGUUUUGGUGAAAUAUGACCCACAUCAAAUUGGAAAUGAGAGGAUGUGAUUUGGUGCUAAUUUUCCACUUUCAGUUGAUGGCCUUUGUUGUGGUUGCACCAUGGUCUAUGGGGAACAGGAAUGAACACCUCUGCUACAACCGAGUAUGUAGAGUUCAACUAAGCCAUAAUGAGUGUGGAGGUUUAUUUUAUCUAUGUUUGUACCCAUGCAAAUCUUGAAUUGUUUACUUUGAUGGUCUAUCGAUUGUCAGAAUAUAGUAUGUUGUGUUCAACAUGCUCACAAAAUUGUAUAGAAGCUUUAGUGUUCAACAUUAUUGACUGUCUAUGUCAAAUUCAGAUUAACUCUAUGGACUAGCUCAUUCAAGUAUUACAGUUUGUUUUCUGGAUUCCGUUUUUGUUCUUGUAAAAGUAGUCAUACGCCCAUCUUCAGAUAGUGAUCUUAAUGAAACAUUGCA
Long non-coding RNA from Triticum aestivum (bread wheat), 4063 nucleotides. RefSeq lists it as uncharacterized. The record is from RefSeq and is a predicted model, not a curated record. The transcript is spliced from 2 exons. Lineage: Eukaryota; Viridiplantae; Streptophyta; Magnoliopsida; Poales; Poaceae.